GACGAACGCUGGCGGCGUGCCUAAUACAUGCAAGUCGAGCGGACUGAUUAAGAGCUUGCUCUUAUGACGUUAGCGGCGGACGGGUGAGUAACACGUGGGCAACCUGCCCUGUAGAUCGGGAUAACACCGAGAAGUCGGUGCUAAUACCGGGUAAUAUCUGAGAUCACAUGAUCUUAGGUUAAAAGAUGGCUCCGGCUAUCACUACAGGAUGGGCCCGCGGCGCAUUAGCUAGUUGGUAAGGUAAUGGCUUACCAAGGCGACGAUGCGUAGCCGACCUGAGAGGGUGAUCGGCCACACUGGGACUGAGACACGGCCCAGACUCCUACGGGAGGCAGCAGUAGGGAAUCUUCCGCAAUGGACGAAAGUCUGACGGAGCAACGCCGCGUGAGUGAUGAAGGGUUUCGGCUCGUAAAGCUCUGUUGUUAGGGAAGAAACAGUACCGAACGAACUAGGUCGGUACCUUGACGGUACCUAACCAGAAAGCCACGGCUAACUACGUG
This 500-nucleotide ribosomal RNA is filed under the name uncultured bacterium. RNAcentral describes it as "partial 16S ribosomal RNA". It matches the Rfam family "Bacterial small subunit ribosomal RNA", at positions 28 to 507 of the family's 1533-position model. The record is from RNAcentral.